This 271-nucleotide ribosomal RNA is filed under the name uncultured bacterium. RNAcentral describes it as "partial 16S ribosomal RNA". It matches the Rfam family "Bacterial small subunit ribosomal RNA", at positions 793 to 1055 of the family's 1533-position model. The record is from RNAcentral.
GUCCUGGCCCUAAACGAUGUCGACUAGAUCGUAGUGCCUCUGACGGUAUUACGGUCGAAGCAAAAGUGCUAAGUCGACCGCCUGGGAAGUACGGUCGCAAGGCUAAAACUCAAAGGAAUUGACGGGGGCUCACACAAGCGGUGGAGCAUGUGGUUCAAUUCGAAGCAACGCGCAGAACCUUACCUGGGUUUGACUCGCCAGGAUUAUCCUCAUGAAAGUGAGGUAGGCCCCGCAAGGGGUACAACUGGUACAGGUGCUGCAUGGCUGUCGU